CUCACAAAGAACUCUAAAGCCUAAAGAACUUUCGCAAUAUGAAAUUAUUUCAAGUUAUUGUUGCAGUUUCCUGCAUUAUUGCCUUUGCCAUGGCAGCUCCUGGUAAUAACAUAAUUAAAGGAGAUAAUAAUUCUAAUAAUAAACAGGAGAAUAAUGAUGUCGGCAUUAAAUUAUUCCAAUAAUUUAUAGAUAAUUUAUACAAUGGUAUGGUUGUUUAAAUGAUAUUGCUAAUAAAUGGCAAAAUGAUAUCUGAA
This is a long non-coding RNA of Calliphora vicina (urban bluebottle blowfly), 254 nucleotides long. RefSeq lists it as uncharacterized. The transcript has 2 exons. The record is from RefSeq and is a predicted model, not a curated record. Lineage: Eukaryota; Metazoa; Arthropoda; Insecta; Diptera; Calliphoridae.